AUGGCCGCGGCGGCGGCGGAGGCGUCCACGGCGCCAAGGAGCCGCCCGGAGGAGGAGGAGGAGGAGGAGGCGAUGGCGGUGCUGGACUUCGACAUGCUCUGCGCGUCCGUGGCCAUGUCGGCGGAGAGGAGGAAGGGCGCCGGCAUGGAGGCGGUGGCGGCGUGCUCGGGCGGCGCCGAGAGCGCCGGCGGAGGAGGGGUGCAGAGGAUGUGGGAGGGGGACGUCGUGAUUGAUUGCUUGGAGGACCGGCGAAUCGCGCUCGAGGCCGCCUGUUGCCCAUGCUAUAGGUUUGGCAAGAACACGCGGAGAGCCAAUCUCGGAUCUUGCUUCCUUCAGGCAAUGGCUUACUUCAUUUCAUUAGUUGCUGUUCUGGUCAGCUUAGUUGCCUUUUCCGUAACAAGGCAUCAUGUAUAUCUCUAUAUGGGACUUGGUUCUGUUCUCUUGAUAGCAAUCUACACCGGUUACUUCCGAAGAAGAAUCAGGAAACAGUUCAAUAUCCGGGGGACUGAUGGCAGUCUAGAUGACUGUGUUCUCCAUCUGAUAUGUCCUUGUUGUACCCUGUGCCAGGAGGCGAGAACUUUAGAGAUGAAUAAUGUCCAGUGUGGUGUCUGGCACGGGCGGGGUGAUACCAUUUGUUUAGGGAGCAACGGUGAAGGAAACAAGGCCUUCGCUGCUCUACACAAAUCACCAUUUGUGCUUAUAAAAUCCCCCGAGUUGUGUGGCAUGGACAGAAUAUCAAGUGGUGCUGAUGAACAUCAGCCGCUCGUCCCAUCAGCGCAGCCAGAGCAGGAGUAA
Molecule: ribosomal RNA, 795 nt
Filed under: Triticum aestivum (bread wheat)
Lineage: Eukaryota; Viridiplantae; Streptophyta; Magnoliopsida; Poales; Poaceae
Description: partial small subunit ribosomal RNA
Source: RNAcentral